This 893-nucleotide ribosomal RNA is filed under the name Salmonella enterica. RNAcentral's name for it is "partial 23S ribosomal RNA". It matches the Rfam family "Bacterial large subunit ribosomal RNA", at positions 597 to 1495 of the family's 2925-position model. Lineage: Bacteria; Pseudomonadati; Pseudomonadota; Gammaproteobacteria; Enterobacterales; Enterobacteriaceae. The record is from RNAcentral.
CUGCGUACCUUUUGUAUAAUGGGUCAGCGACUUAUAUUCUGUAGCAAGGUUAACCGAAUAGGGGAGCCGGAGGGAAACCGAGUCUUAACCGGGCGUUAAGUUGCAGGGUAUAGACCCGAAACCCGGUGAUCUAGCCAUGGGCAGGUUGAAGGUUGGGUAACACUAACUGGAGGACCGAACCGACUAAUGUUGAAAAAUUAGCGGAUGACCUGUGGCUGGGGGUGAAAGGCCAAUCAAACCGGGAGAUAGCUGGUUCUCCCCGAAAGCUAUUUAGGUAGCGCCUCGUGAAUUCAUCUCCGGGGGUAGAGCACUGUUUCGGCUAGGGGGCCAUCCCGGCUUACCAACCCGAUGCAAACUGCGAAUACCGGAGAAUGUUAUCACGGGAGACACACGGCGGGUGCUAACGUCCGUCGUGAAGAGGGAAACAACCCAGACCGCCAGCUAAGGUCCCAAAGUCAUGGUUAAGUGGGAAACGAUGUGGGAAGGCCCAGACAGCCAGGAUGUUGGCUUAGAAGCAGCCAUCAUUUAAAGAAAGCGUAAUAGCUCACUGGUCGAGUCGGCCUGCGCGGAAGAUGUAACGGGGCUAAACCAUGCACCGAAGCUGCGGCAGCGACACUGUGUGUUGUUGGGUAGGGGAGCGUUCUGUAAGCCUGUGAAGGUGUGUCGUGAGGCAUGCUGGAGGUAUCAGAAGUGCGAAUGCUGACAUAAGUAACGAUAAAGCGGGUGAAAAGCCCGCUCGCCGGAAGACCAAGGGUUCCUGUCCAACGUUAAUCGGGGCAGGGUGAGUCGACCCCUAAGGCGAGGCCGAAAGGCGUAGUCGAUGGGAAACGGGUUAAUAUUCCCGUACUUGGUGUUACUGCGAAGGGGGGACGGAGAAGGCUAUGUUGGCCGGG